AGACAUGCCGCGACGCGGGUCAAAGUGUAGUAUCUGAUCGUAUCAGCGUAAUAUCCGAUACGGGUUGUAUUUGGAAUGAACGUAUUAAACUUAUUUUUACAAGUUGGCGGAUUGCUUAAAGCAGCUGCUUCACCGCUGCCACGAAUGGGCCCGGCAUUGCACUAUCUUCGGGAUCAGCCCGCCUUCU
Molecule: non-coding RNA, 187 nt
Organism: Dermacentor albipictus
Lineage: Eukaryota; Metazoa; Arthropoda; Arachnida; Ixodida; Ixodidae
Source: RefSeq, a predicted model, not a curated record